ACUGUUUUGGCAGAAUUUUAGUGUGAUAAAUUUAGAAUUUAUUAAUGUAAUAUAUAUUACAGACAGUA
RNAcentral lists this transfer RNA (68 nucleotides) under Anacestra spiniger. RNAcentral describes it as "tRNA-Leu". The record is from RNAcentral. Lineage: Eukaryota; Metazoa; Arthropoda; Insecta; Hemiptera; Alydidae.